Molecule: ribosomal RNA, 465 nt
Filed under: Dechloromonas sp.
Lineage: Bacteria; Pseudomonadati; Pseudomonadota; Betaproteobacteria; Rhodocyclales; Azonexaceae
Description: bacterial SSU rRNA
Rfam family: Bacterial small subunit ribosomal RNA
Source: RNAcentral
UGCCGCGUGAGUGAAGAAGGCCUUCAGGGUUGUAAAGCUCUUUCGGCCGGNAAAAAAUCGCAUGGGUUAAUACCCUGUGUGGAUGAUGGUACCGGAAUAAGAAGCACCGGCUAACUACGUGCCAGCAGCCGCGGUAAUACGUAGGGUGCGAGCGUUAAUCGGAAUUACUGGGCGUAAAGCGUGCGCAGGCGGUUUGAUAAGACAGGCGUGAAAUCCCCGGGCUCAACCUGGGAACUGCGUUUGUGACUGUCUCACUAGAGUACGGCAGAGGGGGGUGGAAUUCCACGUGUAGCAGUGAAAUGCGUAGAGAUGUGGAGGAACACCAAUGGCGAAGGCAGCCCCCUGGGUCGAUACUGACGCUCAUGCACGAAAGCGUGGGUAGCAAACAGGAUUAGAUACCCUGGUAGUCCACGCCCUAAACGAUGUCAACUAGGUGUUGGGUGGGUAAAACCAUUUAGUACCGUA